UGGGGAAUUUUGGACAAUGGGGGAAACCCUGAUCCAGCCAUCCCGCGUGUGCGAUGAAGGCCUUCGGGUUGUAAAGCACUUUUGGCAGGAAAGAAACGUCGCGGGUUAAUACCCCGCGAAACUGACGGUACCUGCAGAAUAAGCACCGGCUAACUACGUGCCAGCAGCCGCGGUAAUACGUAGGGUGCAAGCGUUAAUCGGAAUUACUGGGCGUAAAGCGUGCGCAGGCGGUUCGGAAAGAAAGAUGUGAAAUCCCAGAGCUUAACUUUGGAACUGCAUUUUUAACUACCGGGCUAGAGUGUGUCAGAGGGAGGUGGAAUUCCGCGUGUAGCAGUGAAAUGCGUAGAUAUGCGGAGGAACACCGAUGGCGAAGGCAGCCUCCUGGGAUAACACUGACGCUCACGCACGAAAGCGUGGGGAGCAAACAGGAUUAGAUACCCUGGUAGUCCACGCCCUAAACGAUGUCAACUAGCUGUUGGGGCCUUCGGGCCUUGGUAGCGCAGCUAACGCGUGAAGUUGACCGCCUGGGGAGUACGGUCGCAAGAUUAAAACUUAAAUGAAUUGACGGGGGUCAUAGCUGUUU
This 583-nucleotide ribosomal RNA is filed under the name uncultured bacterium. Its description in RNAcentral is "partial 16S ribosomal RNA". It matches the Rfam family "Bacterial small subunit ribosomal RNA", at positions 355 to 935 of the family's 1533-position model. The record is from RNAcentral.